GUAUGAAAGGAGGGAAGCAGCUAUAAAUUAGAAGGGAGAUAAGAAAGUGAAGAUAUUUACUAGACUCUGCCUUUGCUUGCAGUUCUCUGGCUUGAUUGAGGAGGUUCUCACUUUCAUCUUUAUGGGACUUUGGCUAAAAAAAAUAAACUGUCAAAGGAACUGGCAUUUGCUGACUGGACUACAGCACAUCUCGAAGAAUCUGCAGACUGAAACCUUCAAGGCAUUCAUGAAAUGGUCUUUCCUUAGUUCCCCUGCCCUUUCCACUCUUUCUGCCAUUUGGAUUUCACACUGGAAGUUCAAGAGAUGACAUCAGAAAACAGAAAAGCCAGUGGGAAAGGCAAGGUAUAAAGAACUUUCAGGGAAUACUCACAUCAUAAAUUCGGUCAGUGGUGUUCAAAGCAAAUUCUGCUGUUUCAUUGGCUUCACUAACAUAAUUAACAAUAUUUUCAUAGACAUUUGAUGCAUCCAAAGCCUUCUGUACCAGCCCGUUCAUAUCUGAACUGUGCAACUUCCUGUUAAUAAACAAACAUUGUUAUUU
RNAcentral lists this non-coding RNA (538 nucleotides) under Pan troglodytes (chimpanzee). The record is from RNAcentral. Lineage: Eukaryota; Metazoa; Chordata; Mammalia; Primates; Hominidae.